UACGGAGGGGGCUAGCGUUAUUCGGAAUUACUGGGCGUAAAGCGCGCGUAGGCGGCUUUGUAAGUUAGAGGUGAAAGCCCGGGGCUCAACCCCGGAAUUGCCUUUAAGACUGCAUCGCUUGAAUCCGGGAGAGGUGAGUGGAAUUCCGAGUGUAGAGGUGAAAUUCGUAGAUAUUCGGAAGAACACCAGUGGCGAAGGCGGCUCACUGGACCGGCAUUGACGCUGAGGUGCGAAAGCGUGGGGAGCAAACAGG
This 253-nucleotide ribosomal RNA is filed under the name uncultured bacterium. RNAcentral describes it as "partial 16S ribosomal RNA". It matches the Rfam family "Bacterial small subunit ribosomal RNA", at positions 524 to 776 of the family's 1533-position model. The record is from RNAcentral.